This 931-nucleotide long non-coding RNA is filed under the name Vigna radiata. RNAcentral describes it as "long non-coding RNA (VRAD_LNC011351)". Lineage: Eukaryota; Viridiplantae; Streptophyta; Magnoliopsida; Fabales; Fabaceae. The record is from RNAcentral.
UCCAGACGAAAUUAGUAUUUUCAUCUUUACUUAUCUUUUACUAAAUAAUAUAAAGACAUCACAUUGUCAUAUUACCUAGUAAAAUCUAAGUAAAGAGGGGCAGCUGUUAAUACCCAAUUUUGUCCGGAUUAUCUUUCUAAUAUUUUUGUUGUCACAUAUUCAACCCUUUUAUUAUUCAUUCACCUAUUUUCUUUUUUGUUUAUUUUUAUCACCUUCUUACUUAUUUUUGUUUUAUGGUAGUUAUUUUAUUUUAGUUUAUCUUUUUUAUUUUAUUUAUUUUACUUUUUCUUUUCAAUGCUUAUUUUCCUUUAGUUUUUAUUUUAUCCUAUUCUCUUUUUUAUUUCAUUUUGUUUUUCCCUUUACAAUUUUUAAUUUUCGUUUUUUUUUUAAGUUUUAUCUUUCUUAUAUUUUAUCUUGUUUAAAAAAAAGAAAAAAAAAGAAAAAAAAAAAGCCAUGUGUGCAAAACCACAAAGGAGAACGGUUUUUUGGUUCAGAGGAGACAAAGUGGUUUGGGGGGAACAUGGCAGAGAGGUUUUGGGGGAUUUGGCAGAGCAGAGAGCAAGAGAGAAAAUCGUUACUGAAAAAGUGGCAGGCAGAGGUGGCCAAAAGAGAGCAACGAUAACAGAGAGGGGGGAGAGCCCAUAGUAAGAGGUUGGCAUUUCUCAUCCUUUUUUACAAAAGAGAAUACGAGGCAGAAAGAGGUUCUUGGUUGCAUCAAGCACAAGAGGCGUGAGAGUAAUACUUGGUUGGAACCACGCNGAGGGAGGAGAAGGAGACCCAUCGGACAAGCAAGGUUGGCAUUGGCAAUCGAGUCUUCAAGAGGUAAGUAAUGGCUCCUUGUACUCUAUGUUCUUGCCCUUGAAUAUCUUACUGUUGCAUUGCCGCUAUUGCUUGCUGUGUGAUGUGUAUGAUCCUGUGACUUGAGUCCUUC